GUACCAGUCCUUAACUGACGCUAAAGCUCGAAAGUGCGGGUAUCGAACAGGAUUAGAUACCCUGGUAGUCCGCACGGUAAACGAUGGAUGCCCGCUGUUUGCGAUAUAUUGUAAGCGGCCAAGCGAAAGCGUUAAGCAUCCCACCUGGGGGAGUACGCCGGCAACGGUGAAACUCAAAGGAAUUGACGGGGGCCCGCACAAGCGGAGGAACAUGUGGUUUAAUUCGAUGAUACGCGAGGAACCUUACCCGGGCUUGAACUGCAGGAGAACGAUACAGAGAUGUUGAGGUCCUUCGGGACUCCUGUGGAGGUGCUGCAUGGUUGUCGUCAGCUCGUGCCGUGAGGUGUCGGCUUAAGUGCCAUAACGAGCGCAACCCCUUUCUUCGGUUGCCAUCAGGCUAUGCUGGGCACUCUGGAGACACUGCCACCGUAAGGUGUGAGGAAGGUGGGGAUGACGUCAAAUCAGCACGGCCUGAAGGUCGGGGGCUACACACGUGUUACAAUGGGUGAUACAGAGAGUUGGGAGCCGGCAACGUCGCUGUAAUCUUUAAAGUCAUCCUCAGUUCGGAUUGGCGUCUGCAACCCGCCCCAUGAAGCGGAU
This 600-nucleotide ribosomal RNA is filed under the name uncultured bacterium. Its description in RNAcentral is "bacterial SSU rRNA". It matches the Rfam family "Bacterial small subunit ribosomal RNA", at positions 726 to 1331 of the family's 1533-position model. The record is from RNAcentral.